Molecule: ribosomal RNA, 484 nt
Filed under: uncultured bacterium
Lineage: Bacteria
Description: partial 16S ribosomal RNA
Rfam family: Bacterial small subunit ribosomal RNA
Source: RNAcentral
AUUGAACGCUGGCGGCAGGCCUAACACAUUCAAGUCGAGCGGAUGAAGGGAGCUUGCUCCUGGAUUCAGCGGCGGACGGGUGAGUAAUGCCUAGGAAUCUGCCUGGUAGUGGGGGAUAACGUCCGGAAACGGGCGCUAAUACCGCAUACGUCCUGAGGGAGAAAGUGGGGGAUCUUCGGACCUCACGCUAUCAGAUGAGCCUAGGUCGGAUUAGCUAGUUGGUGGGGUAAAGGCCUACCAAGGCGACGAUCCGUAACUGGUCUGAGAGGAUGAUCAGUCACACUGGAACUGAGACACGGUCCAGACUCCUACGGGAGGCAGCAGUGGGGAAUAUUGGACAAUGGGCGAAAGCCUGAUCCAGCCACGCCGCGUGUGUGAAGAAGGUCUUCGGAUUGUAAAGCACUUUAAGUUGGGAGGAAGGGCAGUAAGUUAAUACCUUGCUGUUUUGACGUUACCAACAGAAUAAGCACCGGCUAACUUCGUG